AUUGAACGCUGGCGGCAUGCUUUACACAUGCAAGUCGAACGGCAGCGGGGAGGAGCUUGCUUCUCUGCCGGCGAGUGGCGCACGGGUGAGUAAUACAUCGGAACGUGUCGAGAAGAGGGGGAUAACCACCCGAAAGGGUGGCUAAUACCGCAUAAAUUCUGAGGAAGAAAGCUGGGGACCUAGUAAUAGGCCUAGCGCUUUUUGAGCGGCCGAUGUCGGAUUAGCUAGUUGGUGAGGUAAAGGCUCACCAAGGCGAAGAUCUGUAGCGGGUCUGAGAGGAUGAUCCGCCACACUGGGACUGAGACACGGCCCAGACUCCUACGGGAGGCAGCAGUGGGGAAUUUUGGACAAUGGGGGCAACCCUGAUCCAGCCAUGCCGCGUGUAUGAAGAAGGCCUUAGGGUUGUAAAGUACUUUUGUUAGGGAAGAAAAGUCAGCUGUGAAUAAUGGCUGAUACUGACGGUACCUAAAGAAUAAGCACCGGCUAACUACGUG
RNAcentral lists this ribosomal RNA (494 nucleotides) under uncultured bacterium. RNAcentral's name for it is "partial 16S ribosomal RNA". It matches the Rfam family "Bacterial small subunit ribosomal RNA", at positions 30 to 507 of the family's 1533-position model. The record is from RNAcentral.